This 1203-nucleotide ribosomal RNA is filed under the name metagenome. RNAcentral's name for it is "bacterial SSU rRNA". It matches the Rfam family "Bacterial small subunit ribosomal RNA", at positions 302 to 1498 of the family's 1533-position model. The record is from RNAcentral.
GAUCGGCCACAUUGGGACUGAGACACGGCCCAAACUCCUACGGGAGGCAGCAGUAGGGAAUCUUCCACAAUGGACGAAAGUCUGAUGGAGCAACGCCGCGUGAAUGAAGAAGGCCUUCGGGUCGUAAAAUUCUGUUGUCAGAGAAGAACGUGCGUGAGAGUAACUGUUCACGUAUUGACGGUAUCUGACCAGAAAGCCACGGCUAACUACGUGCCAGCAGCCGCGGUAAUACGUAGGUGGCGAGCGUUGUCCGGAUUUAUUGGGCGUAAAGGGAACGCAGGCGGUCUUUUAAGUCUGAUGUGAAAGCCUUCGGCUUAACCGAAGUAGUGCAUUGGAAACUGGAAGACUUGAGUGCAGAAGAGGAGAGUGGAACUCCAUGUGUAGCGGUGAAAUGCGUAGAUAUAUGGAAGAACACCAGUGGCGAAAGCGGCUCUCUGGUCUGUAACUGACGCUGAGGUUCGAAAGCGUGGGUAGCAAACAGGAUUAGAUACCCUGGUAGUCCACGCCGUAAACGAUGAGUGCUGAGUGUUGGAGGGUUUCCGCCCUUCAGUGCUGCAGCUAACGCAUUAAGCACUCCGCCUGGGGAGUACGGUCGCAAGACUGAAACUCAAAGGAAUUGACGGGGGCCCGCACAAGCGGUGGAGCAUGUGGUUUAAUUCGAAGCAACGCGAAGAACCUUACCAGGUCUUGACAUCUUCUGACAAUUCCAGAGAUGGAACGUUCCCUUCGGGGACAGAAUGACAGGUGGUGCAUGGUUGUCGUCAGCUCGUGUCGUGAGAUGUUGGGUUAAGUCCCGCAACGGGCGCAACCCUUAUUGUCAGUUGCCAUCAUUAAGUUGGGCACUCUGGCGAGACUGCCGGUGACAAACCGGAGGAAGGUGGGGAUGACGUCAAAUCAUCAUGCCCCUUAUGACCUGGGCUACACACGUGCUACAAUGGACGGUACAACGAGUCGCUAACUCGCGAGGGCAAGCUAAUCUCUUAAAGCCGUUCUCAGUUCGGAUUGCAGGCUGCAACUCGCCUGCAUGAAGUCGGAAUCGCUAGUAAUCGCGAAUCAGCAUGUCGCGGUGAAUACGUUCCCGGGCCUUGUACACACCGCCCGUCACACCAUGAGAGUUUGUAACACCCAAAGUCGGUGGGGUAACCUUUUGGAGCCAGCCGCCUAAGGUGGGACAGAUGAUUGGGGUGAAGUCGUAACAAGGUA